This 1144-nucleotide long non-coding RNA is filed under the name Anser brachyrhynchus (Pink-footed goose). RNAcentral describes it as "lncRNA (ENSABRG00000002444.1)". Lineage: Eukaryota; Metazoa; Chordata; Aves; Anseriformes; Anatidae. The record is from RNAcentral.
UCUCCUGGGAGCACCUGCCAAGCACUGCCUCUCAUUUCAAGCCUGACUGUUCCUGCUGAGAAAGUGUGAUGAAGCUCCGAGUCUGGGUCAAGGUUAAACACCCUAUGGAAGAGUGCUCAUGUGCCUGGCGCUUUCUCUGUGACUCCUCUAUAAAGGUGAGGGGAAGACGGGUGGGAAGAAACGUGAUCUGCCCAGAGAGUUCAGUGCUGCGAACUGAUGGAGCGACCUCAGAGAGGUGGCAGAAAAAGACAGCGCUCGCUAUCGCUGCUCUGGGAGAGAGUGGGGGACCCCAAAACACCACCCACUUGCAGAACGACACCAUCCUAGAUUCACACCAUUUACCUAGGGUCACUUUAGCCGUGAUAUUACGUUUCUGCUCUACGUGGGAGGAAGGGCGUAAUGAAGAGGGAGCCUCCUAUGACGGAGAACAGCUCAGUCAUGAGAAAGCUGGGUUGGCAGAGAUUAAUGGGGAAGCAUCCUGUCUGCGAUAUCACCAUCUGAGCAAGCCUUUCCCGGGAAACUGGUCGAAAUGUAUCUUGCCAAAAUACCACUUAAGUGACACCUGGAGGUUAGUUGGAACAGCGUACAGUUAUGUCAGAAAUGCCCUCCCUUCCUCCUGGCUUUCUCUGCAUGUACAGAGCUUAGCAUGUUUCAGUUCCCCACAGAUUCAAGUGAAGUUUAAAUCAACAUUGAUUCAAGGGAAUCAGUGCGAGGAGAUCCCAGAUCUGGAGUGGACGUUCUCCAACAGCAGCAGAGUGUCGGUGCCAGCACAGGAGUAUGCGCACAAGGAGCUCUCAGCCAGAGCAGGCCCAGAAUCUGUUUUGCUUUCUCACACUUGGAGCUGGUAUAUUUUAAAGGAUAUCAAGCGGCAAAUGUGGCAAAGGGGAAAAAUUGCUACAGACUGUAUCUGGCAGAAAACCAGCAAAGAUAAAAUACCAUACGUUCUGUGCAAUGAGCUCCUACAUAAAUGAUUCAUUCACUGGAAUACAGCUGGGGUCAAACACCUUCUAUUUGAAUAGCCAAAAGUUAUGCAAAUAUUUUAUGUGGAUUUUUCUCAAGAAAAGAAAGAGGGGGAAAAAAAGGACAAUAUAUCCUAUUCCCAUUUAAAAAUAAAAUAAAAGCUGUUUAUCUAUGUAACUUUUAA